RNAcentral lists this transfer RNA (128 nucleotides) under Hanseniaspora osmophila. It matches the Rfam family "tRNA". Rfam says of the family: Transfer RNA (tRNA) molecules are approximately 80 nucleotides in length. Their secondary structure includes four short double-helical elements and three loops (D, anti-codon, and T loops). Lineage: Eukaryota; Fungi; Ascomycota; Saccharomycetes; Saccharomycodales; Saccharomycodaceae. The record is from Rfam by way of RNAcentral.
GUCUGAGUGGCCGAGUGGUUAAGGCGAUGCCCUGCUAUUAAUUCAAUAACGUCUUGCAUUAUUCAAGAUAUUAUAAGAUAGCCAGGCAUUGGGUUUUACCUUCGCAGGUUCGAAUCCUGUCUCCGACG